AACGCACAUUGCGCCCCCUGGCAUUCCGGGGGGCAUGCCUGUCCGAGCGUCAUUUCUGCCCUCAAGCACGGCUUGUGUGUUGGGUGUGGUCCCCUCCAUCCCGGGGGGGACCUGCCCGAAAGGCAGCGGCGACGCCCGCCUAGGUCCUCGAGCGUAUGGGGCUUUGUCACUCGCUCGGGAGGGGCCUGCGGGCGUUGGUCAUCCCUCAACAUUUUUCCACGGUUGACCUCGGAUCAGGUAGGAGUUACCCGCUGAACUUAA
RNAcentral lists this unclassified non-coding RNA (261 nucleotides) under uncultured fungus. Its description in RNAcentral is "partial contains 5.8S ribosomal RNA, internal transcribed spacer 2, and large subunit ribosomal RNA". Lineage: Eukaryota; Fungi. The record is from RNAcentral.